GUAAAGUAUAAAAGACAGGACUCCUCAUUGACCCUCACACCAUCUACACCGAACUUCUAAAAGUGAAGAUUUGACAAUAAGAUUCAUCAUGGCAGUCAUGAGAGCUCUUGUGCUUCUUUUCUUGGUCUUUUCUGUUCAGAGUGCACCAAGAGCUCAACACUGCCAUCAUGGAUGGAAACAUUUUGGUGUGCAAUGCUACAAAUUCUUCCCUCAGUCAGUUAACUGGGUCACAGCUGAG
Molecule: non-coding RNA, 238 nt
Organism: Misgurnus anguillicaudatus (oriental weatherfish)
Lineage: Eukaryota; Metazoa; Chordata; Actinopteri; Cypriniformes; Cobitidae
Source: RefSeq, a predicted model, not a curated record